GGCUCUUUGUAGUUACUUAAAUAGAGGGUCGGACCUGCCCGGUGACAAUAUUGUUAAACGGCCGCGGUACCCUAACCGUGCUAAGGUAGCAUAAUCAUUUGCCUUUUAAUUGGAGGCUGGUAUGAAUGGUUUGACGAGAGCUAAGCUGUCUCUUAAAAAUUAUUUAGAAUUUAAUUUUUAGGUGAAGAAGCCUAAAUUUAAUUGAGGGACAAGAAGACCCUGUUGAGCUUUAGUGAAACAGUAUAACGAGUAAGUUUUAUUAUAUAUAAGAUUUAUAUUUUUAUAGAUUAACUUUACUGUUAAUCUUUAGUUGGGGCGACUAAGGAACAAAUAAAGCUUCCUCUAGAAAUGGUAGAGUAUGUUGGCAGGCUUAGGUGAUCCAAUAUAAUUAUAUUGAUUUAAGGAAAAAGUUACCACAGGGAUAACAGCGUAAUCUUUCUGGAGAGAUCUUAUCGAAAGAAGGGUUUGCGACCUCGAUGUUGGACUAAGAUAUCCUGAGGGUGUAGAAGCUCUCGAUGGUUGGUCUGUUCGACCAUUAAAAUCUU
This 545-nucleotide ribosomal RNA is filed under the name Calliostoma iridium. RNAcentral describes it as "partial 16S ribosomal RNA". It matches the Rfam family "Bacterial large subunit ribosomal RNA", at positions 1819 to 2597 of the family's 2925-position model. The record is from RNAcentral. Lineage: Eukaryota; Metazoa; Mollusca; Gastropoda; Trochida; Calliostomatidae.